This 484-nucleotide ribosomal RNA is filed under the name uncultured bacterium. RNAcentral describes it as "partial 16S ribosomal RNA". It matches the Rfam family "Bacterial small subunit ribosomal RNA", at positions 30 to 507 of the family's 1533-position model. The record is from RNAcentral.
AUUGAACGCUGGCGGCAGGCCUAACACAUGCAAGUCGAGCGGAUGAAGGGAGCUUGCUCCUGGAUUCAGCGGCGGACGGGUGAGUAAUGCCUAGGAAUCUGCCUGGUAGUUGGGGAUAACGUCCGGAAACGGGCGCUAAUACCGCAUACGUCCUGAGGGUGAAAGUGGGGGAUCUUCGGACCUCACGCUAUUAGAUGAGCCUAGGUCGGAUUAGCUAGUUGGUGGGGUAACGGCCUACCAAGGCGACGAUCCGUAACUGGUCUGAGAGGAUGAUCAGUCACACUGGAACUGAGACACGGUCCAGACUCCUACGGGAGGCAGCAGUGGGGAAUAUUGGACAAUGGGCGAAAGCCUGAUCCAGCCAUGCCGCGUGUGUGAAGAAGGUCUUCGGAUUGUAAAGCACUUUUAGUUGGGAGGAAGAGCAGUAAGUUAAUACCUGGCUGUUUUGACGUUACCAACAGAAUAAGCACCGGCUAACUUCGUG